RNAcentral lists this ribosomal RNA (570 nucleotides) under Exechia seriata. Its description in RNAcentral is "eukaryotic LSU rRNA". It matches the Rfam family "Eukaryotic large subunit ribosomal RNA", at positions 402 to 812 of the family's 3401-position model. The record is from RNAcentral. Lineage: Eukaryota; Metazoa; Arthropoda; Insecta; Diptera; Mycetophilidae.
AAACCGCUUAGGGGUUAAGCCCGAUGAACCUGAAUAUCUGAAUUGCGAAAUUCAGUGCUGUUUGGCGGUGCAUUUAACGAUGUAUUGUCGACAGUAUGCACUUUUCGCAUAGUAGGACAUUGCGAUCCAUUCGUAGUUCUCUUUGAGACGGUUUAUCAUACGGCCUGUGUAGUCAGUUUAGCCUAUCUGCGGUACUCGUUGCCGUAUGGUUAAUACUACUGCGGUGCCCGGUAAACAGCGGAUGGAGCUUAACAAUCAUGCCACCAUGCAAAUGUAUCACGGUCGUGACGUAUUUAUAUGUUGCGGUGCAGUGAUCGCAUGUAUUUGAUUAGCAAUGCGAUAGAUUUGGGAUACCUUCGGGACCCGUCUUGAAACACGGACCAAGAAGUCUAACAUGUGUGCGAGUCAUUGGGUAUUUCGUUGAAACCUAAAGGCGCAAUUAAAAUAACUAUUUUAUGGGAUUACAAGCGAUCUCCAAUGAUCGUUUCUCCAUCCCGGGGCGUUCUAUGUGAACAUGGUUCAAGCAAUUGGGCCCUCUGUUCGAGAGCGUACCUUGAGCAUACAUGCUGU